This 77-nucleotide ribosomal RNA is filed under the name Vibrio cholerae. RNAcentral describes it as "partial 16S ribosomal RNA". It matches the Rfam family "Bacterial small subunit ribosomal RNA", at positions 1 to 75 of the family's 1533-position model. Lineage: Bacteria; Pseudomonadati; Pseudomonadota; Gammaproteobacteria; Vibrionales; Vibrionaceae. RNAcentral also lists the same sequence under 2 other names. The record is from RNAcentral.
UUUAAUUGAAGAGUUUGAUCAUGGCUCAGAUUGAACGCUGGCGGCAGGCCUAACACAUGCAAGUCGAGCGGCAGCAC